This 253-nucleotide ribosomal RNA is filed under the name uncultured bacterium. RNAcentral describes it as "partial 16S ribosomal RNA". It matches the Rfam family "Bacterial small subunit ribosomal RNA", at positions 524 to 776 of the family's 1533-position model. The record is from RNAcentral.
UACGAAGGGGGCGAGCGUUGUUCGGAUUUACUGGGCGUAAAGGGCGCGUAGGCGGCCUUGUCAGUCAGGCGUGAAAGCCCCGGGCUCAACCUGGGAACGGCGCUUGGGACGGCGAGGCUGGAGUUCGGGAGAGGAGAGUGGAAUUCCCAGUGUAGAGGUGAAAUUCGUAGAGAUCAUGAGGAAGACCAGUGGCGAAGGCGGGUCUCUGGACAGUUCCUGACACUUAGGCACGAAGGCCAGGGGAGCAAACGGG